RNAcentral lists this ribosomal RNA (441 nucleotides) under uncultured bacterium. Its description in RNAcentral is "partial 16S ribosomal RNA". It matches the Rfam family "Bacterial small subunit ribosomal RNA", at positions 338 to 795 of the family's 1533-position model. The record is from RNAcentral.
CCUACGGGUGGCAGCAGUGGGGAAUAUUGGGCAAUGGAGGAAACUCUGACCCAGCAACGCCGCGUGAAGGAUGAAGGUUUUCGGAUUGUAAACUUCUGUCGCGAGGGAUGAAGAAUGACGGUACCUCGUAAGACAGCCCCGGCAAACUACGUGCCAGCAGCCGCGGUAAGACGUAGGGGGCGAUCUUUGUCCGGAAUGACUGGGCGGAAAGGGAGUGUGGGGGGCAUAUUAAGUUAUGUGUGAAAGCCCGCGGCUCAACCGAGGAAUUGCACAUAAAACUGGUAAGCUGGAGUGCAGGAGAGGUAAGUGGAAUUCCCGGUGUAGCGUGGGAAUGCGUAGAUAGCGAGAGGAACACCAGAGGCGAAGGCGACUUACGGGACUGUAACUGACGCUGAGGCUCGAAAGCGUGGGGAGCAAACAGGAUUAGAUACCCCAGUAGUC